Non-coding RNA from Ciona intestinalis (vase tunicate), 619 nucleotides. The record is from RefSeq and is a predicted model, not a curated record. Lineage: Eukaryota; Metazoa; Chordata; Ascidiacea; Phlebobranchia; Cionidae.
UAAUGAAAACAACUUUUCUCUUGCUUAAUUUAUUUGAAAAUCCAGGAAAGUGAGCAAACCACUUAAAAUGUCUUGCCCAACCAAAUGGAAGGUAUUUUUCAUAACAAGCUUUUGGACCAAUCGACAUCUGUUCAGAUCACUUUGUUUAGCAGCAUCUGCAGCAAUAACAAAGAGGAAUCUGUAAACUUUGUUCAUAAUAUUGUUUCCUUUGUAUCUACAGCACCUAACUUCAGUUGGUAUCCUCACACUCGUUUGUUCAACCCUAAUUGUUGUUUGUCACGUUGUUAAUAAACUGCAUAAAUAAAUCUCGUUAUAUACCUUUGUAGGACAAUGCACUCGUUAUAUACCUCUUACUUAAUGCAUAUUAAGAAGUAACAAAUUUAUGGCAAUUAGGAAGACAUUAUGCAUCUCCUGGGUACUCCCAAAUAUUUAAAAUAAAUAUAGAACCUCCUUGCUUCACUUGAAACUUAAACUCCUGGUUGCAAUUGCCACAAGUGAAGAUGAUCAUAAUUUCCCCCAAUACCGAAUGUUUUGCACUUUUUGUUGCAUUUAGUAAACUUUUCGCCACGCAGUGUGGUCAUGGAAUGUACCGGCUGUUUUAAAAUAGAAACAUAAAAAA